UACGUAGGUCGCAAGCGAUGUCCGGAUUUACUGGGCGUAAAGAGCGCGCAGGCGGCUGGUCAAGUCCGACGUGAAAGCUCCCGGCUUAACUGGGAAACGGCGUCGGAAACUGAUCGGCUUGAAGGUGGGAGAGGGUAGUGGAAUUCCCGGUGUAGUGGUGAAAUGCGUAGAUAUCGGGAGGAACACCAGUGGCGAAGGCGACUACCUGGCCCAUUCUUGACGCUGAGGCGCGAAAGCUAGAGGAGCGAACGGG
Molecule: ribosomal RNA, 253 nt
Filed under: uncultured bacterium
Lineage: Bacteria
Description: partial 16S ribosomal RNA
Rfam family: Bacterial small subunit ribosomal RNA
Source: RNAcentral